RNAcentral lists this transfer RNA (74 nucleotides) under Patescibacteria group bacterium. RNAcentral describes it as "tRNA-Val". It matches the Rfam family "tRNA". From Rfam's summary of the family: Transfer RNA (tRNA) molecules are approximately 80 nucleotides in length. Their secondary structure includes four short double-helical elements and three loops (D, anti-codon, and T loops). Further hydrogen bonds mediate the characteristic L-shaped molecular structure. tRNAs have two regions of fundamental functional importance: the anti-codon, which is responsible for specific mRNA codon recognition, and the 3' end, to which the tRNAs corresponding amino acid is attached (by aminoacyl-tRNA synthetases). tRNAs cope with the degeneracy of the genetic code in two manners: having more than one tRNA (with a specific anti-codon) for a particular amino acid; and 'wobble' base-pairing, i.e. permitting non-standard base-pairing at the 3rd anti-codon position. The record is from RNAcentral.
GGAUGAUUAGCUCAGUUGGUUAGAGCACUACAUUCACACUGUAGGGGUCAGUGGUUCGAGUCCACUAUUAUCCA